GGAAAAGAAACCAACAGGGAUUACCUUAGUAACGGCGAGUGAAGCGGUAAAAGCUCAAAUUUGAAAUCUGGCCCUUUCAGGGUCCGAGUUGUAAUUUGCAGAGGAUGUUUCGGUGUCGGCGCCGGGAUAGGUUCCUUGGAACGGGACGUCAUAGAGGGUGAGAACCCCGUCUUCGCCCGGGCCGCCUUCACCUUGUGAAACUCCUUCGAAGAGUCGAGUUGUUUGGGAAUGCAGCUCUAAGUGGGAGGUAAAUUUCUUCUAAAGCUAAAUAACGGCCAGAGACCGAUAGCGCACAAGUAGAGUGAUCGAAAGAUGAAAAGCACUUUGGAAAGAGAGUUAAAAAGCACGUGAAAUUGUUGAAAGGGAAGCUCAUGCGACUAGACUUGUCCGCAGUUGCUCAGCCGCCCUUCUGGGCGGUGUACUCUUCUGUGGGCAGGCCAGCAUCGAUUCGGGCGGCCGGAUAAAGGCCCUGGGAAUGUAGCUCCCCUCGGGGAGUGUUAUAGCCCUAGGCGUAAUGCGGCCAGCCCGGAUCGAGGACCGCGCUUCGGCUAGGAUGCUGGCGUAAUGGUUGUAUGCGACCCGUC
RNAcentral lists this ribosomal RNA (584 nucleotides) under uncultured fungus. RNAcentral's name for it is "eukaryotic LSU rRNA". It matches the Rfam family "Eukaryotic large subunit ribosomal RNA", at positions 55 to 653 of the family's 3401-position model. Lineage: Eukaryota; Fungi. The record is from RNAcentral.